CUCGAAGGAGGGAGGAGGUUCCAGGCUCCACAGAUAAGGGUUUGGAAACAGGUGCUAUUUUCUCACUUUGCUCAAGGCUGAAGAUUACCGAGCCAGACGGGACCGUGUCUCAUCAGUUCACGUUCAUUUAUAAUAUGCUGGGUAAUGGGGGUCGACGUACAGUCCACCAGCUCGCGGGGGUCAUCGGCUCCAGGGUGGGGAGUGUGCAGGCACGCCUGGAGUUUCUGCUGAGGGGACCCAUGUGAAACCACCUGGCUCUCAACCCCAGACCAGCUCUAGACCUGGUGGAAGGGUCUGCUGAGAAGAGCUUCUCUGUCUGAGAACGCUGACGGGUGAGCCGACACAGGGGGCCGGUGGUGAGGUGGUGAAGAUCCAAGGGUUACCAAGAGAGGAGGCGGCACAGUGAUCUUAAUGACUUUAGAGCUGGAGGCAAGAGAAGUCAUGAAUCUGGAGACAUUUCACAGAAGCAGACUCGGUCUCCUGUCACCCAGACCUUCUGGGGCUUGAUGAUCCAUUCCUGGGGACCUCUGCAGCCUUCUUCAGAUUCCCAGCAGCAAAGAAAUACCUUAGGCCAGUGGUUGUCACACUGCAGCGCGCAUGAGAAUCCCCUGGAACAGAGCACGGAGCCCCGCUGCACAGUUUCUGAUUCAACACAGCUCUGGAGUCGUCCUCACUUUCUACACUGCAAUCAGUCAACAGCGUGAUGGUCUCCAUAUUGCCAAGUCAAGUGGAUACAUUCCGGGCCUCUCUUCCUUAGCUUCUCUUCAGUAUUUGGAACUGCUGACAUUUCCACCACUCUGUGUGUUUUGAUAACACCACUCUCCCAAGUUUAUCUCCUACUUCUUGGCUGCCUUUCUCUUAGUGCCCUUUCUAGGGGUCUACUUUAGUCCUUUCCUCGUGUCCUGAGGGUUGGGGCUUCCCUGUGCUUCCAUUCGAGACCCUCUGCUCCUCUUAUUCUAGAAACACCUUCCAGGUGACUUCUUUCAACCUAUAGCUUCAACUACAAUUAUACCAAGGUUCUCCAAAUAUUUUUGUUCAUGCUAUUAUUUUAAGUAUUCAGCAUAGACCCCUCUGUGUGUAUAGCUAUUUAUUUAUAGGUGACAUGCAUGAAUUCUUGUACUUAUUUACUCUGUAUGUUAUAAAACAUUUAUAAUAGAAGUGUGGGAAACGGAUACAAAUAAAUCUAAAUAGAAGCUCUAAUCAUUUCUUCUCCCAUCGAAAGGAUUAUCUUGCUAUACAUCCUUCUCACAGACUACUAGUUGGCAUACACAAUUGCCUACCAGAUACUUGUUAUCAUAGAGAUACGCCAAAUUUAAAUGCAGCAUGCACAAAACUAAACUCAUCAUCUUUCUUCCCAAAACUCUGUCCUUCAGGAGAGUACCAGAUGAUGCUGGAAAAUAAUAUGUCAGAAAGCAGAGAAGUACUCAAAGGCUACGGGAGAUAUGCCAAAAGGACACAAUAAUUGGCUUAAAGGGGCUCCCACUAGGCAGAUUUGGGAUGACUAGAACAUCAAAUAUAUAUCUGUAUCUAUAUAUCUAUA
Long non-coding RNA from Acinonyx jubatus (cheetah), 1540 nucleotides. RefSeq lists it as uncharacterized. The record is from RefSeq and is a predicted model, not a curated record. Lineage: Eukaryota; Metazoa; Chordata; Mammalia; Carnivora; Felidae. The transcript has 3 exons.